Molecule: transfer RNA, 73 nt
Filed under: Actinomycetota bacterium
Lineage: Bacteria; Bacillati; Actinomycetota
Description: tRNA-Thr
Rfam family: tRNA
About the family: Transfer RNA (tRNA) molecules are approximately 80 nucleotides in length. Their secondary structure includes four short double-helical elements and three loops (D, anti-codon, and T loops). Further hydrogen bonds mediate the characteristic L-shaped molecular structure. tRNAs have two regions of fundamental functional importance: the anti-codon, which is responsible for specific mRNA codon recognition, and the 3' end, to which the tRNAs corresponding amino acid is attached (by aminoacyl-tRNA synthetases). tRNAs cope with the degeneracy of the genetic code in two manners: having more than one tRNA (with a specific anti-codon) for a particular amino acid; and 'wobble' base-pairing, i.e. permitting non-standard base-pairing at the 3rd anti-codon position.
Source: RNAcentral
GCCGGAGUAGCUCAGUUGGUAGAGCGGCGUCCUUGUAAGACGCGGGCCGUCGGUUCGAGUCCGACCUCCGGCU